This 283-nucleotide ribosomal RNA is filed under the name uncultured bacterium. Its description in RNAcentral is "partial 16S ribosomal RNA". It matches the Rfam family "Bacterial small subunit ribosomal RNA", at positions 1 to 274 of the family's 1533-position model. The record is from RNAcentral.
UGAGGCGCGCCGAGUUUGAUCCUGGCUCAGAGUGAACGCUGGCGGCGUGCUUAACACAUGCAAGUCGAACGAGAACGGGUUAUAGCUUGCUAUAACUGUCAGCUAAGUGGCGCACGGGUGAGUAAUAUAUAGUUAACCUGCCCUAGAGAAGGGGAUAACGUUUGGAAACGGACGCUAACACCCUAUAUGCCUUUAAUACAUAAGUAUGCAAGGGAAACAUUUAUGGCUCUAGGAUGGGACUGUACGGUAUCAGUUAGUUGGUGAGGUAAUGGCUCACCAAGAC